CUUUGUUGUAGUUCUCACCCUACUAUUCCACAGAGCCCGGACCGAGCGAGCCGGCGAGCGACCGAGGUAAAGGUAUCGCGCCUUAAUCAGAGGCCACCAGAGUUGGGUCUACAUUUUGUAGUAAAGCACCUAUGAUCAUCUUGUGUACUUGAUGAUAAAAUGAUGUAAAGAAAAGAAUGUAAUGUGUAUUUUGACGUGAAUGUGAUGUAAGAAAGAAAUGAUGAAAUGAUGUAAUGAAAUUGUAAGGAAUUAUAAAAAUGUACAAGACGAAUGCAAUGUAUAUGAUAAAAAAUGAAUCAUAGUACAUAUGAAUGUU
Molecule: long non-coding RNA, 316 nt
Filed under: Ananas comosus (pineapple)
Lineage: Eukaryota; Viridiplantae; Streptophyta; Magnoliopsida; Poales; Bromeliaceae
Description: long non-coding RNA (ACOM_LNC017736)
Source: RNAcentral